UGCUCUCUGCCCUGUAUGUGUGGUUGCUAUACCCACGCGGAAUAUUUUUCAAUCGGGAAGGUUCUUGUGAAAGUGGUGUGCCAGCCUGCCUCGAAGCAGGACGCCUAAAGCGUUCACCGUUCCCCCCACCUAGUUGACCGUCGUCGUGAGGUCACGAACCCACGGCAGGCGUGGAGGGCAA
This 181-nucleotide non-coding RNA is filed under the name Desulfuromonadales bacterium. RNAcentral's name for it is "6S RNA". It matches the Rfam family "6S / SsrS RNA". Rfam says of the family: E. coli 6S RNA was the first non coding RNA to be sequenced, but its function was unknown until recently. It consists of 184 nucleotides that fold into an extended hairpin structure with a large single-stranded internal bulge. The 6S RNA specifically associates with RNA polymerase holoenzyme containing the sigma70 specificity factor. The record is from RNAcentral. Lineage: Bacteria; Pseudomonadati; Thermodesulfobacteriota; Desulfuromonadia; Desulfuromonadales.